CCUACGGGCGGCAGCAGUAGGGAAUUUUCGUCAAUGGGCGCAAGCCUGAACGAGCAAUGCCGCGUGAACGAGGAAGGUCUUCGGAUCGUAAAGUUCUGUUGAAGGGGAAAAAGAGCGGAGAGAGGAAAUGCUUUCUGAGUGAUAUUACCCUUCGAGGAAGUCACGGCUAACUACGUGCCAGCAGCCGCGGUAAUACGUAGGUGGCGGGCGUUAUCCGGAAUGAUGGGGCGUAAAGGGUGCGUAGGCGGCCUGGUAAGUCUGGGGUGAAAGGUACCGGCUCAACCGGUACAGGCUCUGGAAACUGGCGGGCUAGAGAGCAGGAGAGGGCGGUGGAACUCCAUGUGUAGCGGUAAAAUGCGUAGAUAUAUGGAAGAACACCAGUGGCGAAGGCGGCCGCCUGGCCUGUUACUGACGCUGAGGCACGAAAGCGUGGGGAGCAAAUAGGAUUAGAUACCCGAGUAGUC
RNAcentral lists this ribosomal RNA (464 nucleotides) under uncultured bacterium. RNAcentral's name for it is "partial 16S ribosomal RNA". It matches the Rfam family "Bacterial small subunit ribosomal RNA", at positions 338 to 795 of the family's 1533-position model. The record is from RNAcentral.